Molecule: long non-coding RNA, 598 nt
Organism: Frieseomelitta varia
Lineage: Eukaryota; Metazoa; Arthropoda; Insecta; Hymenoptera; Apidae
Exons: 3
Source: RefSeq, a predicted model, not a curated record
CUUCACUGGCUCUACCUCACCAACUGUUUCGUGAUAGCACCGAACCGUGGCUGUAUCACCGCAUCGGUCUACGUUCUCCUACAUAUGAUAGAUAUCGUCGCGAUGUAUCAAAGAUGUUAUUGGCGAUGCGUAACAAUUUUUCCGAUACGUCAGAAAUAUUAUUGACUGAAACGAAGAAAGAUGCAGGGAAAUAUUUCUGUAGUUGGCGAAGAUAACGAGAAAUAAAGAAGAGAGGCGCAAUUUCAAACUUAUACCACAGUUAUCAUUGUACCGAGAUGUGUAUACGUGUAAUCAACGUGUUAGCCAGAAACGACGAAUUUUAUUAUACGCGGUGUGCGACCACCGAUGGAAUGCCAUUGCCAGAAAUCUUCAACUCUCGUGUUUGAACCUGGCCACGCGACCCGACAAUCCACGAUUACGUCAUGCUAUCUCAGCUGCUUGCUUUCGCGCACUAUGAUCCUUCCACCACGCCGUCGUGAAGAUGCAACGAGAUCAUGUUUUUUUGGCAGGAGAGACCCGAUUCGAAGAAAACGAAUUUUUUUGCAGAAGGUAAUUUUGGACUCUGCUGAAUUUCUGAACUUUUAUAUUUUACUCUUAC